AACGUAGGAGGCGAGCGUUAUCCGGAUUUACUGGGUGUAAAGCGCGUGCAGGCGGCGAGCUAAGUUGGGUGUGAAAGCUCCUGGCUCAACCGGGAGAGGUCGCUCAAGACUGGCUGGCUAGAGGACAGUAGGGGAAGGUGGAAUUCCGGGUGUAGUGGUGAAAUGCGUAGAUAUCCGGAGGAACACCAGUGGCGAAGGCGGCCUUCUGGACUGUACCUGACGCUCAGACGCGACAGCUAGGGGAG
Molecule: ribosomal RNA, 245 nt
Filed under: uncultured bacterium
Lineage: Bacteria
Description: partial 16S ribosomal RNA
Rfam family: Bacterial small subunit ribosomal RNA
Source: RNAcentral